GCCAGACUCCUACGGGAGGCAGCAGUGGGGGAUAUUGCACAAUGGGGGGAACCCUGACGCAGCGACGCCGCGUGAGUGAAGGAGCGUUUCGGCGCGUAAAGCCCUCUCGGCAGGGAAGAAGGAGGACGGUACCUGACCAAGAAGCCCCGGCUAACUACGUGCCAGCAGCCGCGGGAAUACGUAGGGGGCAAGCGUUAUCCGGAUUCACUGGGCGUAAAGGGAGCGCAGGCGGCACGGCAAGUCUGGUGUGAAAGCCCGGGGCCCAACCCUGGGACUGCAUUGGAAACUGCCGGGCUGGAGUGCCGGAGGGGCAAGCGGAAUUCCUGGUGUAGCGGUGAAAUGCGCAGAUAUCAGGAAGAACACCGGUGGCGCAGGCGGCUUGCUGGACGGCAACUGACGCUGAGGCUCGAAAGCGUGGGGAGCAAACAGGAUUAGAUACCCCUGUA
Molecule: ribosomal RNA, 446 nt
Filed under: uncultured bacterium
Lineage: Bacteria
Description: bacterial SSU rRNA
Rfam family: Bacterial small subunit ribosomal RNA
Source: RNAcentral